RNAcentral lists this ribosomal RNA (328 nucleotides) under uncultured Ectothiorhodospiraceae bacterium. Its description in RNAcentral is "bacterial SSU rRNA". It matches the Rfam family "Bacterial small subunit ribosomal RNA", at positions 35 to 365 of the family's 1533-position model. Lineage: Bacteria; Pseudomonadati; Pseudomonadota; Gammaproteobacteria; Chromatiales; Ectothiorhodospiraceae. The record is from RNAcentral.
GCUGGCGGCAUGCCUAACACAUGCAAGUCGAACGGUAACAGGUCCUUCGGGGCGCUGACGAGUGGCGGACGGGUGAGUAACGCGUGGGAAUCUGCCCUGUAGUGGGGGACAACCCGGGGAAACUCGGGCUAAUACCGCAUACGCUCUACGGAGGAAAGCGGGGGAUCUUCGGACCUCGCGCUACAGGAUGAGCCCGCGUCCGAUUAGCUUGUUGGUGAGGUAAAAGCUCACCAAGGCGACGAUCGGUAGCUGGUCUGAGAGGACGACCAGCCACACUGGGACUGAGACACGGCCCAGACUCCUACGGGAGGCAGCAGUGGGGAAUAUU